UGGCCUACCAUGCAGUCGAACGGCAGCACAGAAGAGCUUGCUCUUUGGGUGGCGAGUGGCGGACGGGUGAGUUAUGUCUGGGAAUCUGCCCGAUGGAGGGGGAUAACUACUGGAAACGGUAGCUAAUACCGCAUAACGUCGCAAGACCAAAGGGGGGGACCUUCGGGCCUCACACCAUCGGAUGUGCCCAGAUGGGAUUAUCUAGUAGGUGGGGUAAUGGCUCACCUAGGCGACGAUCCCUAUCUGGUCUGAGAGGAUGACCAGCCACACUGGAACUGAGACACGGUCCACACUCCUACGGGAGGCAGCAGUGGGGAAUAUUGCACAGUGGGCGCAAGCCUGAUGCACCCAUGCCGCGUGUAUGAAAAAGGCCUUCGGGUUGUAAAGUACUUUCAGCGGGGAGGAAGGCGGUGAGGUUAAUAACCUCGCCGAUUGACGUUACCCGCAAAAAAAGCACCGGCUAACUCCGUGCCAGCACCCGCGGUAAUACGGAGGGUGCAAGCGUUAAUCGGAAUUACUGGGCGUAAAGCGCACGCAGGCGGUCUGUUAAGUCAUAUGUGAAAUCCCCGGGCUUAACCUGGGAACUGCUUUUGAAACUGGCAGGCUUGAGUCUCGUAGAGGGGGGUAGAAUUCCAGGUGUAGCGGUGAAAUGCGUAGAGAUCUGGAAGAAUACCGGUGGCGAACGCGGCCCCCUGGACGAACACUGACGCUCAUGUGCGAAAGCGUGGAGAGCACACAGGAUUAACCCGGUUUUUUUCCCAAAA
RNAcentral lists this ribosomal RNA (764 nucleotides) under Pantoea dispersa. Its description in RNAcentral is "bacterial SSU rRNA". It matches the Rfam family "Bacterial small subunit ribosomal RNA", at positions 44 to 804 of the family's 1533-position model. Lineage: Bacteria; Pseudomonadati; Pseudomonadota; Gammaproteobacteria; Enterobacterales; Erwiniaceae. The record is from RNAcentral.